AUGAUCAGACAUGUGGAGGAAUUCAAAUUUAUCAAAAAUCACUUCAGAGGUCAUGGAAAACGAUGGGAAAUAUUCGGUUGGCUGCGUUCUUUUUUCAAACAAUUUUAUGGGUCAGUCACCGAGGAGGACUACACAACCCUGCUACUUGGCUUUGUCAUGAAACACAGCAAGGGGCAUCCAAAAUUUAACUUUUACAGUUAUAUGAAUAGAGCACUAGAAGGGGAUUUCAAGAAAGUUGUUGGCAUAAGCUGGUACCUUUGGGCUAUGUUGAUGAUAUUCCUGCUACUGAAUGUUCAUGGAUGGUAUGUCUACAUUUGGAUAUCGGUUGCACCAUUCGUUUUGCUACUUGUGGUCGGAAGUAAGCUGGAGCAUAUUAUCACGGAGCUAGCUAUUGACGUUGCCCAGAAGAAUACUGCAAUAGAAGGGGAGCUAGUUGUAGCUCUUUCAGAUGAAUUCUUUUGGCUCCAUCGGCCUAAACUAGUCCUUCUAUUGAUCCGUAUCAUCUUGUUCCAAAAUGCAUUUGAGAUUGCAUUUUUCUUCUGGCUGCUGGUAACAUAUGGAUUUAAAUCAUGUAUUAUUGGAAAACCAGCAUAUGUUAUUGCUCGUCUGGUGAUAAGUGUCAUCAGCCAACUCCUAUGUGGAUACAACACCCUCCCUCUAUAUGCUCUCAUAUCUCAAAUGGGAGGUUCGUUUAAGAAAGCCAUGUUCGAUGAAAGUAUAUCUGAAGGCCUCACCAAUUGGGCUCAAAAGGCUAGGAAGCGUAAUAGAAUGACAACACCAAGUGUUGGUGACAAUUCACCCGUUGGUGAGGGAAUUCAAAUGACAAAUGACUGCUAG
This 837-nucleotide ribosomal RNA is filed under the name Triticum aestivum (bread wheat). RNAcentral's name for it is "partial small subunit ribosomal RNA". The record is from RNAcentral. Lineage: Eukaryota; Viridiplantae; Streptophyta; Magnoliopsida; Poales; Poaceae.